GAAUCUUAUAAAAACACAAACCCGCUUUAAAAAAGAAAACCAAAAAAGGAAAAACACAAACGCCAUAUUUCCCGAUUGAAAUUUCAGACUCACUCUGACUUCCCGAUGAAACAGAGAGAGGCGAUGAGGGCACGGAGAAAGAAGCAGAGAAAGAGAGGCGAUGAAAUCAAAAAGUUUCAAAAACCGAUUUUGCAGACCCAAAACCUAGGCAGAACGGUAAACAAAGAAGGCAUGGAGUGGGGACUGGGGAGAGAGAAAAAUCUGCCAUAAUCAAAAGGGAAAGAGCGCAGAGUUCGUUUGAACCAUACACCGUCCGUUCCCUUGCCAGAUCUCGACCACCAGAUUACCUGGACUGACAUCGACAACGAAUGAUUGAGAGGGAUACAGAGACAGUGUUCGUGAAUGUUGCUGCCACCAGCGUCAAUUUGGCUUCCUACACCGUUAGUAGCCUCGCCAUAGAAGAAAAAUCUAUGGACCAUCAACACUGUAAGACCAUAUAGCGAUAGAGUGAGAACUACCACCGCUGUGCCAAGAGGGAGAGUUGCGAAACCAAGAGAUACUUAUGUUGAAGACAAUGGAAGAACAAGUGUAUUUCCAAAGUUUCAGAAUGAACAGGAGGUAGAUGUGAAAAACACACCGGCGCAGUUUCGCUGCCCAAGAAUCAUGAUUUAGUCAUGAGCUGCAUUGAUAUGGAGUUCUUUCCAGCAUGACUUCCUCCAUUUUAUCCUUUCGAGAAGGUUUCUGUGGAACCGAACCUUUCAAAGUAACCACAAGUAUACAUCCUUCAAAGAGUCCAAAUGCAAGUUCUGCAAAAGUUCAUUGUUGCAUUGCUUCAGCAGUAUACAAUUAGCUUUUCUCCUGAAAUUUUUUUUGGUGAAGGUACGCUUGGUUGUGUUUAUAGGGGUAAGCUACCCGAUUGAGAGGUAAGAUUCUUUUAACUUAAUAAGAACUAAUUUGCCAGGAUGAUGGCGUGGCUGUUUGAUUGUGUGGCUUCUACUUUAGAAUGCCUCAUGUACGCUUGUAUUUGUUUUCAUUUUUUCCCCUUCAUCUUCUCUAUCCUCAUUAGGAGUAGGAGAGUAGUCGAGAAAGAGCCAUAGACAAAUAAGAAAAUGCAUUAGUGAAGUUUAGAAGAAUGCAAAAAUUGUCAAUAUCCUUAUGCUUCAAGAAAUUUAUGGAAAAGGAUUAUGCUAAAAAGCAUCAACCAUAUGUACAUGGCUUAGGAAAGGAGUAGGUAGCUGUAGAUUUCUCUAUGAGGUUUCACAAAUGUAACUUUGAUUUAGUGCCACCAUCUUUUAGUUUUUAAUGGGGCAGUACAGUGAUUUGUAUUGAUAAAACUCUACAAUUUUAACUUUUUCAAGAGUUUUGGUCUU
Quercus robur (English oak) is the source of this 1370-nucleotide long non-coding RNA. RefSeq lists it as uncharacterized. The record is from RefSeq and is a predicted model, not a curated record. The transcript has 3 exons. Lineage: Eukaryota; Viridiplantae; Streptophyta; Magnoliopsida; Fagales; Fagaceae.